Molecule: long non-coding RNA, 386 nt
Organism: Lagenorhynchus albirostris (white-beaked dolphin)
Lineage: Eukaryota; Metazoa; Chordata; Mammalia; Artiodactyla; Delphinidae
Exons: 2
Source: RefSeq, a predicted model, not a curated record
CGCAGCAGCAGCGGCCCGAAGGCGGUGCUCAGGGCACGCACAGCUGGGCCCAGGGCUGGGGCGCGCCGGGCCACCCGGCCCAGGUGCUGGAGCAGGAAGCGCAGUGUGAGCGCGCUGUGCAGCGGCAGCGUCGGGGGCUCCAGCGCUGGCCCCACGGGCCCCGCGGCCUCUGCGGACAGACGGCCAGGGGAAGGCCAUAUGAAGAGAGAGGCAGAGAUUGGGGUGAUGUGGCCACAAGCCAAGGUACACCUGGAACCCCCAGAAGCUGGAAGAAGCAAGGAAAGAUCCUCCCCUAAAGCCUCUGGACAGAGCACAGCCCUGCCCACACCUUGAUCCUGGACUUCUGGUCUCCGGAACCAUGAGAGAAUAAACUCCUGUUGUUUGAA